UGCAAAAGGUAAUUGGAGUGACAGCUGGGUAAAACAUUUCACCCACUAAAACGCGUUUCCCAAAUAGCGUUUUGGAGGGUUUAGCUUAGAGCUUUUUCAGAGGUUUCAAAUAGCGUUUUCCGGUGGUAUUGGAGCAUGAAAGAGCUAAAAAUCACUUCAAUUUCAGUUGAAUUUGGUGUUGUUACUCUGUAGAAAAUUGAUGAAAACUUGGAGGAAAUGUUGACGAAUCGCCCCAAGUAAUAGAAGCUGAUGAAAGCUUGGAGGAUGAAGAACCUGAUGUUGAAUGUGAAGUGGAGGUAAGGGAAGGACAGCACCUACUGCCAAGUGGAAUAGACAUACGGCCAUCAUGUGAUACAUAGGAAUGAGAGGUUUCAGAAUUGUUUGGACGCCUUUGGUACACCUGUAGGGGAAGGUUGGAGUGUUGAAAAUGGAAGAAGGGAAGCAGGAGGAGGUUGUGAACCGUCUGGAAGCGGGUAUGGUAUCCUCAAGCUAGGUUGAGGCUGACAAAUACUUUAGGCAGUAUGGGAAGCAACUUUGUGUUAGAGUCUUUGUUGCUGCUGGAAAUUCUAAAAUAGAGGAGGGUAGGCUGACAAAUACUUUAGGCAAUAUUGGAACCGUCCGGAAGUUCAUACUGAUAUUUUUGUAAACUGCUGUCCUUGAAGUAUAUACUGUCAUGUUAAAUACAAAUAUAGUUAUAUUUAGAGGAACACGAUAUUUAAGGAAUUAUACUACACUUUUUAUUCUUUUAUUUUACAUGAAUAAUUUUAUUUGUAAUUACAUCAAUCCAUACUACGUAUUUGCCA
Long non-coding RNA from Chenopodium quinoa (quinoa), 803 nucleotides. RefSeq lists it as uncharacterized. The transcript has 3 exons. Lineage: Eukaryota; Viridiplantae; Streptophyta; Magnoliopsida; Caryophyllales; Amaranthaceae. The record is from RefSeq and is a predicted model, not a curated record.